CGGGGUGAGUAAUGCUUGGGAAUCUAGCUUAUGGAGGGGGAUAACUACGGGAAACUGUAGCUAAUACCGCGUAGAAUCGAGAGAUGAAAGUGUGGGACCUUCGGGCCACAUGCCAUAGGAUGAGCCCAAGUGGGAUUAGGUAGUUGGUGAGGUAAAGGCUCACCAAGCCGACGGUCUCUAGCUGGUCUGAGAGGAUGACCAGCCACACUGGGACUGAGACACGGCCCAG
RNAcentral lists this ribosomal RNA (229 nucleotides) under uncultured bacterium. RNAcentral describes it as "partial 16S ribosomal RNA". It matches the Rfam family "Bacterial small subunit ribosomal RNA", at positions 104 to 334 of the family's 1533-position model. The record is from RNAcentral.